UUAAGACUGGCUGUGAAUCUUCCACUGAUCUUCUCUUUCUUGUUUGAUUGCAUUUGUAUCAGAACGUGGAGGCUUUCCCCAGGACCCUGCCUAAACCAUUGGAAGAAAGCUGAAGUGUUGCCUCUGUAACUGCAGUUCAUUGUGAAGCUCUUGCCUUCUUGGACUUUCAGGUACCUCCUCAGCUACAUUCCCUGGACAAAGCCCUGGCCCUAGUACAUCAACCUCCAUCCUUCCCAACUUCCUUCUUUCACUUCUUACUCUGGCCUGAGAUGGAGAAGAGCAAAGGAAGAGCCCUUGGGAGGGAAUGAG
This is a long non-coding RNA of Canis lupus familiaris (dog), 309 nucleotides long. RefSeq lists it as uncharacterized. NCBI's taxonomy places the organism in Eukaryota, Metazoa, Chordata, Mammalia, Carnivora, Canidae. The record is from RefSeq and is a predicted model, not a curated record. The transcript is spliced from 3 exons.